CCUACGGGUGGCAGCAGUGAGGAAUAUUGGUCAAUGGCCGUAAGGCUGAACCAGCCAAGUAGCGUGAGGGAAGACUGCCCUAUGGGUUGUAAACCUCUUUUAUGCGGGGAUAAAGGUGUCCACGUGUGGAUGUUUGCAGGUACCGCAUGAAUAAGGACCGGCUAAUUCCGUGCCAGCAGCCGCGGUAAUACGGAAGGUCCGGGCGUUAUCCGGAUUUAUUGGGUUUAAAGGGAGCGUAGGCCGGUCUUUAAGCGUGCCGUGAAAUUUUGUGGCUCAACCAUAGAAUUGCCGUUGAAACUGGGAGGCUUGAGUAUGUUUGAGGCAGGCGGAAUGCGUGGUGUAGCGGUGAAAUGCUUAGAUAUCACGCAGAACUCCGAUUGCGAAGGCAGCUUACUAAACUGCCACUGACAUUGAUGCUCGAAAGUGUGGGUAUCAAACAGGAUUAGAUACCCUGGUAGUC
This 460-nucleotide ribosomal RNA is filed under the name uncultured bacterium. RNAcentral describes it as "partial 16S ribosomal RNA". It matches the Rfam family "Bacterial small subunit ribosomal RNA", at positions 338 to 795 of the family's 1533-position model. The record is from RNAcentral.